AAAUGGAGGUUGAAAUUUGUAGAGAGAUAACGCUCCAAGCAGGAUCCACUGUCAGCAAGAGUACUAAAAGCACGUCCAACUGGAAGAGCAUCCAACUAACAUGGCACCGAAAAUGUUUCGAGUUGAACUUGCUUUCAGUACUCUUGCUGACAGUGCGUCCUACUUGGAAUGUUAUCUCUCUACAAAUUUCAACCUCCCACU
Molecule: microRNA precursor, 201 nt
Filed under: Gossypium raimondii (Peruvian cotton)
Lineage: Eukaryota; Viridiplantae; Streptophyta; Magnoliopsida; Malvales; Malvaceae
Description: miR8751b stem-loop (gra-MIR8751b)
Source: miRBase by way of RNAcentral